Molecule: ribosomal RNA, 119 nt
Filed under: Hordeum vulgare subsp. vulgare (domesticated barley)
Lineage: Eukaryota; Viridiplantae; Streptophyta; Magnoliopsida; Poales; Poaceae
Source: RNAcentral
AGAUGCGAUCAUACCAGCACUAAAGCACCGGAUCCCAUCACAACUCCGAAGUUAAGCGUGCUUGGGCGAGAGUAGUACUAGGAUGGGUGACCUCCUCGGAAGUCCUCGUGUUGCAUUCC